AUUGAGUUGGCAGAUAUUAUGUGAUUGGUUUAGGUUCAAUUUAGAUGGGUGAAAUUCCCAUACUUAGUA
RNAcentral lists this transfer RNA (69 nucleotides) under Puncturella cf. parvinobilis. RNAcentral describes it as "tRNA-Leu". Lineage: Eukaryota; Metazoa; Mollusca; Gastropoda; Lepetellida; Fissurellidae. The record is from RNAcentral.